UACGUAGGUGGCAAGCGUUGUCCGGAUUUAUUGGGUUUAAAGGGUGCGUAGGCGGUUCUUUAAGUCAGCGGUGAAAUACGACAGCUUAACUGUCGAGGUGCCAUUGAUACUGGGGAACUUGAGUACUGAUGAGGUAUGCGGAAUGGACGGUGUAGCGGUGAAAUGCUUAGAUAUCGUCCAGAACACCGAUAGCGAAGGCAGCAUACUAAGGAGUAACUGACGCUGAGGCACGAAAGUGUGGGGAUCAAACAGG
Molecule: ribosomal RNA, 253 nt
Filed under: uncultured bacterium
Lineage: Bacteria
Also listed under: 1 other name
Description: partial 16S ribosomal RNA
Rfam family: Bacterial small subunit ribosomal RNA
Source: RNAcentral